AUGAAAUGGAAUCUUCAGAUGAGGAAAACACAUUUCGUAAGCAACAGAAAAGAAAGCUUGACGCUGAAAAGCUACUAACCAUGAAAGUUAAAGGAUUUCUUUCCCUAUUCCUCAUUAUUCUAAUGGUCUCAGCGGUUCACAGUGAAGAGGAUUUGGGUCCUGUUUACCGGAGUAGUUUUCCGGCAGGUUUUAUAUUUGGGACUGCAUCAUCUGCUUACCAGUAUGAAGGUGCAGCA
This 236-nucleotide unclassified non-coding RNA is filed under the name Hevea brasiliensis (rubber tree). Lineage: Eukaryota; Viridiplantae; Streptophyta; Magnoliopsida; Malpighiales; Euphorbiaceae. The record is from RNAcentral.